RNAcentral lists this small RNA (220 nucleotides) under Oryza sativa Japonica Group (Japanese rice). Its description in RNAcentral is "sRNA Os03g0221150". The record is from RNAcentral. Lineage: Eukaryota; Viridiplantae; Streptophyta; Magnoliopsida; Poales; Poaceae.
AGUGGUUUCAGGGCUGUUGGUCGAAGUUAAUUUAUGUAAACUUUGUUUUGGCUGACCCAUUUGCUGCUGAUAUGGGCACUCGAUGAAGGUUUCAGAGGCUGUUGCUUAGGUAAUUAAGGUAAGCUUAUUUUGGAUGAACUGGUAGUUGCUGACAUGAACAGUUGAACAUUUCCGCCGGGCAUGCUUUAUUGAAUUAUUGACGGUCAAAAUAGCUGUUGCU